RNAcentral lists this ribosomal RNA (674 nucleotides) under Escherichia coli. Its description in RNAcentral is "partial 23S ribosomal RNA". It matches the Rfam family "Bacterial large subunit ribosomal RNA", at positions 152 to 867 of the family's 2925-position model. Lineage: Bacteria; Pseudomonadati; Pseudomonadota; Gammaproteobacteria; Enterobacterales; Enterobacteriaceae. RNAcentral also lists the same sequence under 4 other names. The record is from RNAcentral.
CAUUAACUGAAUCCAUAGGUUAAUGAGGCGAACCGGGGGAACUGAAACAUCUAAGUACCCCGAGGAAAAGAAAUCAACCGAGAUUCCCCCAGUAGCGGCGAGCGAACGGGGAGCAGCCCAGAGCCUGAAUCAGUGUGUGUGUUAGUGGAAGCGUCUGGAAAGGCGCGCGAUACAGGGUGACAGCCCCGUACACAAAAAUGCACAUACUGUGAGCUCGAUGAGUAGGGCGGGACACGUGGUAUCCUGUCUGAAUAUGGGGGGACCAUCCUCCAAGGCUAAAUACUCCUGACUGACCGAUAGUGAACCAGUACCGUGAGGGAAAGGCGAAAAGAACCCCGGCGAGGGGAGUGAAAAAGAACCUGAAACCGUGUACGUACAAGCAGUGGGAGCACGCUUCGGCGUGUGACUGCGUACCUUUUGUAUAAUGGGUCAGCGACUUAUAUUCUGUAGCAAGGUUAACCGAAUAGGGGAGCCGAAGGGAAACCGAGUCUUAACUGGGCGUUAAGUUGCAGGGUAUAGACCCGAAACCCGGUGAUCUAGCCAUGGGCAGGUUGAAGGUUGGGUAACACUAACUGGAGGACCGAACCGACUAAUGUUGAAAAAUUAGCGGAUGACUUGUGGCUGGGGGUGAAAGGCCAAUCAAACCGGGAGAUAGCUGGUUCUCCCCGAAAGCU